Molecule: ribosomal RNA, 439 nt
Filed under: uncultured bacterium
Lineage: Bacteria
Description: partial 16S ribosomal RNA
Rfam family: Bacterial small subunit ribosomal RNA
Source: RNAcentral
CUACGGGAAGCUCCAGUGAGGAAUAUUGCACAAUGGGGGAAACCCUGAUGCAGCAACGCCGCGUGGAGGAUGACGCAUUUCGGUGUGUAAACUCCUUUUAUCAGAGAAGAAAAUGACGGUAUCUGAUGAAUAAGCUCCGGCUAACUCCGUGCCAGCAGCCGCGGUAAUACGGAGGGAGCAAGCGUUAUUCGGAAUCACUGGGCGUAAAGGACGCGUAGGCGGGUUUUUAAGUCAGGUGUGAAAUCCUAUGGCUCAACCAUAGAACUGCACUUGAAACUGGGGACCUAGAGUAUGGAAGGGGCAGGUGGAAUUAGUGGUGUAGGGGUAAAAUCCGUAGAUAUCACUAGGAAUACCGAAAGCGAAGGCGACCUGCUGGGACAUUACUGACGCUGAGGCGUGAAAGCGUGGGGAGCAAACAGGAUUAGAUACCCGAGUAGUC